Molecule: long non-coding RNA, 783 nt
Organism: Bactrocera dorsalis (oriental fruit fly)
Lineage: Eukaryota; Metazoa; Arthropoda; Insecta; Diptera; Tephritidae
Exons: 2
Source: RefSeq, a predicted model, not a curated record
CCCGUGGUGACUAAAGUACUUUCGCGUGGCACUCCUUUCUGCGUUGGCGGUCUUCGGUUGCGCUUUUAAAAAAUAACCCUGGCCGAGCGAAUAUCCGGGAUGACUGAAGUACUUUCGCGUAGUACUCUUUUUUGCGUUAAAAAUAAAAAAAUAUAUUAAGUUUUUGUUAUAAAGUGGUUAAAGUAGUUAUAUCCGCCAACAAAAUUGCAACUUAGCAAAACGGAGCUACGAUCGAAAUGUAUGAUAGGCAGAAUUGUAAAUUUCGAAGUUGAACUGAACGGGAACGGAACGCAUGAUACCAAAGUCGCCAAACGGAGAAAAUUUCAAUCCAAGUCGAAAUGCGUGAUAGGGUUUCCUAAAAAGGGUGCGAUGACGAGACUUUACCAUGCGUGCUUGUAACCGGUGUUCAUCAAUUUCAUUCUUUCGACGGAUCUUCUUAUUUUCUUUGUGGACUUUACCAGCCUGAACACUCAUGGACAGCGUCUAAAAUAUGAUUAUUUUAAAAUAUUAAAUAUAAUUAUAUAAAAAUCGGUUACUUCUUCGUGUCGAAGUUUUUCCUUUUGCUCUUCAGGAAUAUUAUCGUCAUUUUGCUCUUCUUCAUUUUCAAUGCGAUCAUACUCCUCAAAAUCUGCUCUUUCUUCAAUAUAUGCUUUUUGUAAUUGAUCAUCAUCCAUGGCGUGACUGUCUAUUAUUUCUUUUGCUGAUGCUGAAAACCCGGUAUUACCUUCAACAUCUACAAAUAUAUAUAAUAAUUAGUAAUACAAGAAAUUUGUGAAAACCUUA